This 423-nucleotide ribosomal RNA is filed under the name uncultured bacterium. Its description in RNAcentral is "partial 16S ribosomal RNA". It matches the Rfam family "Bacterial small subunit ribosomal RNA", at positions 360 to 774 of the family's 1533-position model. The record is from RNAcentral.
AAUCUUCCGCAAUGGACGACAGUCUGACGGAGCGAUGCCGCGUGAGUGAUGAAGGUCUUCGGAUCGUAAAACUCUGUUGGUAGGGAAGAACAAGUAUCGGAGUAAUAUGCAGGUACCUUUACGGUACCUAACCAGACAGCCCCGGCUAAUUACGUGCCAGCAGCCGCCGUGAUACGUAGGGUGCAAGCGUUGACCGGAAUUAUUGGGCGUAAAGGGCACGCAGGCGGUUAUUUAAGUCUGAUGUGAAAUCUUGUGGCGUAACCACAAGCGGUCAUUGGAAACUUGAUAACUUGAGUACAGAAGAGGAGAGUGGAAUUCCAAGUGUAGCGGUGAAAUGCGUAGAGAUGUGGAGGAACACCAGUGGCGAAGGCGGCUCUCUGGGCUGUAACUGACGCUGAGGUGCGAAAGCGUGGGUAGCGAACA